GACGAACGCUGGCGGCGUGCUUAACACAUGCAAGUCGAACGGAAAGGCCCUGCUUUUGUGGGGUGCUCGAGUGGCGAACGGGUGAGUAACACGUGAGUAACCUGCCCUUGACUUUGGGAUAACUUCAGGAAACUGGGGCUAAUACCGGAUAGGAGCUCCUGCUGCAUGGUGGGGGUUGGAAAGUUUCGGCGGUUGGGGAUGGACUCGCGGCUUAUCAGCUUGUUGGUGGGGUAGUGGCUUACCAAGGCUUUGACGGGUAGCCGGCCUGAGAGGGUGACCGGCCACAUUGGGACGGAGAUACGGCCCAGACUCCUACGGGAGGCAGCAGUGGGGAAUAGUGCACAAUGGGCGGAAGGCUGAUGCAGCAACGCCGCGUGCGGGAUGACGGCCUUCGGGUUGGAAACCGCUUUCGACUGUGACGAAGCGUGAGUGACGGUAAUGGGUAAAGAAGCACCGGCUAACUACGUG
RNAcentral lists this ribosomal RNA (468 nucleotides) under uncultured bacterium. RNAcentral's name for it is "partial 16S ribosomal RNA". It matches the Rfam family "Bacterial small subunit ribosomal RNA", at positions 28 to 507 of the family's 1533-position model. The record is from RNAcentral.